Phasianus colchicus (ring-necked pheasant) is the source of this 242-nucleotide non-coding RNA. The record is from RefSeq and is a predicted model, not a curated record. Lineage: Eukaryota; Metazoa; Chordata; Aves; Galliformes; Phasianidae.
CCUACAUUUCCAGCCCUCUUCAUUGUAGACUUCGAAAGGGAGUCUGCAGGUAUGGACAAUGUCGGCGGCCAUAUAACCGGGUUGGAUCAUGUGGCGAUUUAAGGAGUUCUUGCUGUGUAAGGGCCAUUUGGGCCUGAUGAUUCCCUGGCUUCUCCUGGAAAAUCCUUCCUGCAUCUACCAAAUGGCCUCGCCAGCACUCCAGCUCCAUCACACCUGCAGGCACCACAUCCUCCUGCAAAAAA